This 90-nucleotide ribosomal RNA is filed under the name uncultured Glomus. Its description in RNAcentral is "partial 18S ribosomal RNA". The record is from RNAcentral. Lineage: Eukaryota; Fungi; Glomeromycota; Glomeromycetes; Glomerales; Glomeraceae.
AGCAUUUCGCGAUGCUGAGAGUUGAUCAACUGGUCAUUAGAGGAAGUAAAGUCGUAACAAGUUUCCGUAGGUGACCUGCGAGGAUCAUUA